GCCUACGGGGGGCAGCAGUGGGGAAUAUUGGGCAAUGGGCGCAAGCCUGACCCAGCAACGCCGCGUGAAGGAAGAAGGCUUUCGGGUUGUAAACUUCUUUUAUGAGGGACGAAACAAAUGACGGUACCUCAUGAAUAAGCCACGGCUAACUACGUGCCAGCAGCCGCGGUAAUACGUAGGUGGCAAGCGUUAUCCGGAUUUACUGGGUGUAAAGGGCGUGUAGGCGGGACUGCAAGUCAGAUGUGAAAAUUAUGGGCUCAACCCAUAACCUGCAUUUGAAACUGAAGUUCUUGAGUGAUUGAGAG
Molecule: ribosomal RNA, 305 nt
Filed under: uncultured bacterium
Lineage: Bacteria
Description: bacterial SSU rRNA
Rfam family: Bacterial small subunit ribosomal RNA
Source: RNAcentral